UGGGGAAUUUUCCGCAAUGGGGGCAACCCUGACGGAGCAACGCCGCGUGCGGGAGGAAGGCCUUUGGGUUGUAAACCGCUUUUCUCAGGGAAGAAGCUCUGACGGUACCUGAGGAAUCAGCCUCGGCUAACUCCGUGCCAGCAGCCGCGGUAAUACGGAGGAGGCAAGCGUUAUCCGGAAUCAUUGGGCGUAAAGCGUUCGCAGGCGGCGAUUCAAGUCUGCUGUCAAAGCCCGCAGCUCAACUGCGGACAGGCAGUGGAUACUGAAUCGCUUGAGUGCGGCAGGGGUAGAGGGAAUUCCCGGUGUAGCGGUGAAAUGCGUAGAUAUUGGAUGGAACACCGGUGGCGAAAGCGGCUCUCUGGUCCGAACCUGACGCUGAGGCGCGAAAGCGUGGGGAGCAAACAGGAUUAGAUACCCCCGUAGUCC
RNAcentral lists this ribosomal RNA (426 nucleotides) under uncultured prokaryote. Its description in RNAcentral is "bacterial SSU rRNA". It matches the Rfam family "Bacterial small subunit ribosomal RNA", at positions 355 to 796 of the family's 1533-position model. The record is from RNAcentral.